RNAcentral lists this ribosomal RNA (840 nucleotides) under uncultured bacterium. RNAcentral describes it as "bacterial SSU rRNA". It matches the Rfam family "Bacterial small subunit ribosomal RNA", at positions 505 to 1341 of the family's 1533-position model. The record is from RNAcentral.
GUGCCAGCAGCCGCGGUAAUACGUAGGGUGCGAGCGUUGUCCGGAAUUACUGGGCGUAAAGAGCUCGUAGGUGGUUUGUCGCGUCGUCUGUGAAAUUCCGGGGCUUAACUUCGGGCGUGCAGGCGAUACGGGCAUAACUUGAGUGCUGUAGGGGAGACUGGAAUUCCUGGUGUAGCGGUGGAAUGCGCAGAUAUCAGGAGGAACACCGAUGGCGAGGGCAGGUCUCUGGGCAGUAACUGACGCUGAGGAGCGAAAGCAUGGGGAGCGAACAGGAUUAGAUACCCUGGUAGUCCAUGCCGUAAACGGUGGGCGCUAGGUGUAGGGGUCUUCCACGACUUCUGUGCCGUAGCUAACGCAUUAAGCGCCCCGCCUGGGGAGUACGGCCGCAAGGCUAAAACUCAAAGGAAUUGACGGGGGCCCGCACAAGCGGCGGGAGCUUUGGGGAUUAAUUCGAUGCAACGCGAAAGAAACCUUACCUGGGCUUGACCAUAUAACAGGACUGGGGCCAGAAGAUGUUCUUUCCCUUUUGUGGCUUGAUAUACAGGGUGGGUGCAAUGGUUUGUCGUCCAGCCUCGUGUCGUGAGAUGUUGGGGUUAAGUCCCCGCAACGAGCCGCAACCCUUUGUCUUAUGUUGCCAGCGGAUUUGGCCGGGGGACUCAUGAGAGACUGGCCGGGGUUAACUCGAAGAAGGUGGGGAUGACGUCAAUCAUCAUGCCCCUUAUGUCCAGGGCUUCACACAUGCUACAUGUCGUACACGCGCUGCAGCCUGUGAGUGAGCGAAUCGUGAACCGCUCAGUCGGAUGGGUCUGCACUCGACCAUGAAGUCGGAGUCGCUAGUAU